This 90-nucleotide non-coding RNA is filed under the name pig gut metagenome. Its description in RNAcentral is "SAM riboswitch (S box leader)". It matches the Rfam family "SAM riboswitch aptamer (S box leader)". Rfam says of the family: The SAM riboswitch is found upstream of a number of genes which code for proteins involved in methionine or cysteine biosynthesis in Gram-positive bacteria. The record is from RNAcentral.
CUUAUAAAGAGUGGUGGAGGGACUAGGCCCUAAGAAACCCGGCAACCGGCGUGCACGGUGCUACAUCCUACAGGAAACUGGAAGAUAAGG